GAUGAAGAACGUAGCGAAAUGCGAUAAGUAAUGUGAAUUGCAGAGUUCAGUGAAUCAUCGAGUCUUUGAACGCACAUUGCGCCCCUUGGUAUUCCGAGGGGCAUGCCUGUUCGAGCGUCAUUAUAACCCCUCAAGCUCAGCUUGGUGUUGGGGCCUGCCGCACGGGCAGCCCUUAAAAUCAGUGGCGGUGCCAUCUGGCUCUAAGCGUAGUAAUUCUUCUCGCUAUAGAGUCCCGGUGGAUGCUUGCCAUUAACCCCCAAUUUUCUAUGGUUGACCUCGGAUCAGGUAGGGAUACCCGCUGAACUUAAGCAUAUCAAUAAGCGGAGGA
This 328-nucleotide unclassified non-coding RNA is filed under the name soil metagenome. RNAcentral's name for it is "partial contains 5.8S ribosomal RNA, internal transcribed spacer 2, and large subunit ribosomal RNA". The stretch from base 1 to 120 matches the Rfam family "5.8S ribosomal RNA", at positions 35 to 154 of the family's 154-position model. The record is from RNAcentral.